UGGCUCAGUCAGUCGGGCGUCCGCCUCACAACCGGGAGGUUGUGGGUUCAAACCCCAC
This 58-nucleotide transfer RNA is filed under the name Strongylocentrotus purpuratus (purple sea urchin). The record is from Rfam by way of RNAcentral. Lineage: Eukaryota; Metazoa; Echinodermata; Echinoidea; Camarodonta; Strongylocentrotidae.